AGUGAACGCUGGCGGUAGGCCUAACACAUGCAAGUCGAACGGCAGCACAGUAAGAGCUUGCUCUUACGGGUGGCGAGUGGCGGACGGGUGAGGAAUACAUCGGAGUCUACUUUUUCGUGGGGGAUAACGUAGGGAAACUUACGCUAAUACCGCAUACGACCUACGGGUGAAAGCAGGGGAUCUUCGGACCUUGCGCGAUUGAAUGAGCCGAUGUCGGAUUAGCUAGUUGGCGGGGUAAAGGCCCACCAAGGCGACGAUCCGUAGCUGGUCUGAGAGGAUGAUCGGCCACACUGGAACUGAGACACGGUCCAGACUCCUACGGGAGGCAGCAGUGGGGAAUAUUGGACAAUGGGCGCAAGCCUGAUCCAGCCAUACCGCGUGGGUGAAGAAGGCCUUCGGGUUGUAAAGCCCUUUUGUUGGGAAAGAAAAGCAGCAGGUUAAUACCCCGCUGUUCUGACGGUACCCAAAGAAUAAGCACCGGCUAACUUCGUG
Molecule: ribosomal RNA, 492 nt
Filed under: uncultured bacterium
Lineage: Bacteria
Description: partial 16S ribosomal RNA
Rfam family: Bacterial small subunit ribosomal RNA
Source: RNAcentral